AAAAGGUGGCUAUGCUACCGCUUUUGGAUGGGCCCGCGGCGCAUUAGCUAGUUGGUGGGGUAAAGGCUUACCAAGGCAAUGAUGCGUAGCCGAAUUGAGAGGUUGAUCGGCCACAUUGGGACUGAGACACGGCCCAAACUCCUACGGGAGGCAGCAGUAGGGAAUCUUCCACAAUGGGCGAAAGCCUGAUGGAGCAACGCCGCGUGGGUGAAGAAGGUCUUCGGAUCGUAAAACCCUGUUGUUAGAGAAGAAAGUGCGUGAGAGUAACUGUUCACGUUUCGACGGUAUCUAACCAGAAAGCCACGGCUAACUACGUGCCAGCAGCCGCGGUAAUACGUAGGUGGCAAGCGUUAUCCGGAUUUAUUGGGCGUAAAGGGAACGCAGGCGGUCUUUUAAGUCUGAUGUGAAAGCCUUCGGCUUAACCGGAGUAGUGCAUUGGAAACUGGGAGACUUGAGUGCAGAAGAGGAGAGUGGAACUCCAUGUGUAGCGGUGAAAUGCGUAGAUAUAUGGAAGAACACCAGUGGCGAAAGCGGCUCUCUGGUCUGUAACUGACGCUGAGGUUCGAAAGCGUGGGUAGCAAACAGGAUUAGAUACCCUGGUAGUCCACGCCGUAAACGAUGAAUGCUAAGUGUUGGAGGGUUUCCGCC
RNAcentral lists this ribosomal RNA (648 nucleotides) under uncultured bacterium. RNAcentral's name for it is "bacterial SSU rRNA". It matches the Rfam family "Bacterial small subunit ribosomal RNA", at positions 202 to 838 of the family's 1533-position model. The record is from RNAcentral.